UUUCUGCUCCUGUCACCAUGGCCCCGGCCUGGGCGCUCAAGCGACCCUCUCGCUCCGCCCAGACCCCUGGAUGCCCAGCUGCCGCACCUCCCGUGGCCUCACGCUGUGGCUACGUGUUGUCUGAAGACGCCUGGGGAAACCUUCAGGGCCUCUGUACUGGCCUGUCAUGUGGUCAACCAGUGUGAACAUCAAGGUGUCUGGGUUCAUGGAACCUGGUGAAGAAACCACCUACAACUAUACCAUGUCCUGUCCCUAUUUCACAUGGGCCUCAAGGGAGAUUCUCUGAAGGGAACUACAUGGAGAUCUCAAACUUGAUUGCACAGUCAACCCAGCUCCUGUCUGUCAGGCUCAGGAACCACUUACAAGCUAUGGCAGGUGAUGUUCCAGCAUCCCACAGGGAGGAAGAUUAUGCUGGUGAGCCACGUGGCCAAGCAGGACUAUGGCUUCAACAGCUCUGGGGCCUGCAUGUUCCUGCAUUAGCCCUACUCCAGCAAUGAGGCUGAAGUCACCAGAGUGACAUCAUGGUAUCUGUGGUGCAAGCUAUAGCAUCCACCUAUUCUUGGAGCACACAUGGUCAGACACUGAUUGGCAUGUGACCAAGUUGAUGGUGGUCAAAACAGAACUCCUUUCAUGCCCACAAGCUUCAGUAUUACUGUGUUCCCUGCCACUUCUGUUGAAGUUAUGCAGGCUUGGGAUGAUCCUUUGGUGUGAACGAAGCCCCAGAGAGGACCACGUGGAGAGUGCCUGACUGUUCCUGUGAUGUCUUCUAGUAUAUGAACAGGAAUGAAACCCACUAUGUCCUCCACGUGAACUAUACGCUGAGCAUGGGUCCAGAUGGGAAACCAUUCUCCUACCCUGCAGAAAUGGAACAUAGUUUCGAGGAUGUUGGUAAGUACACCAAGUGAGGUGUGCUGGUCCUGGACUCAUGGAUGGUCUUGGUGCCCAACAAGUUGCACUGGCUCUGUCCAAACAAUGGCUGUGGAAGCCCCUCCCAUGGUGGGGGGGCUCCUACUGGGGCUACACAGAAGUAACUCCUCACAAGUGGCUUGUCUGCAUGCUGGAUUGGAAGCCCAGCAUAGAAGCAGCUGUUGGCAGACACAUGAAGUAAUAUAGAGAAUGGGUGGCUGCUCAUACAAUCAGCAGUAAGACUUCACUUAAAUCAUGCCAGGAAUGACAUGAACAGGACUCAAGGUGCCCCAUACAGUCUUCCCUCCCAGGUGCCACCACCCCUGAAAUGUUAACCUUGGUAGACUUCUCAUGUCAGGGUCAUGGUAAGGGUAGCCAGUGGUAUCAAGACCUUGGUAUAAAUCAGACAUGGCCUUCUUCCCAGCAAGGUCAUUAGGUACCCAACGUAGAGAUAGCAGGGAAAGGAUAUAAGAACAGGGAAGUUCCAGAUGAGUCAUCUUUUGCCUAUGACUAGGCCUGCCUAUAGGUUUUACAGCUCCAGGAAGUAAGAAAACAGGUGUAUUGUCUUCCUUCCUAUAGCUCUGCUAGGUGUCAUCCUCUUAAGGUCACUAGGAUUCUAGUGUUGAAGGCUUGCUGCCACACAGAUGGCAUUGUUCUAUCCUCAAAGCACUUUCAGGGUGCCAUCUAAUGGGUCUGAAUCCUGGUUCCACUGCGAACUUUAAGCAAGGAACUUAGCAUUAUCCAAUCC
RNAcentral lists this long non-coding RNA (1654 nucleotides) under Pongo abelii (Sumatran orangutan). RNAcentral's name for it is "lincRNA". Lineage: Eukaryota; Metazoa; Chordata; Mammalia; Primates; Hominidae. The record is from RNAcentral.